RNAcentral lists this long non-coding RNA (4804 nucleotides) under Malus domestica (apple). RNAcentral describes it as "long non-coding RNA (MDOM_LNC007668)". The record is from RNAcentral. Lineage: Eukaryota; Viridiplantae; Streptophyta; Magnoliopsida; Rosales; Rosaceae.
AAGGUAUAAAUAUGACUUUAUAGCCAAAAUUCAUUUAGGGUUUUCUUUUGGGGAAAGGAUGAGAACAUAAGCUUUCCUUUCUUUCUAAAGUGGCCGGCCUCCUUGGAGGGUUUAGCUAGCAAUCCUACUACUCCAAGGUCACUCAUUUCUUUUCCAAUCUAACCUUGGUGAAGAGACUUAGAGGUUCUCAAUUUUGGGAACUUGGAGAACCAUUUCAUCCAUCCAAAUCCAUAGAUCUAAGAUGCAAGGAAUGAAGGCCCUCUCUUUGGGUGAUUAGUCUUUGCUUAUGCAAAGAGGAAUCUACAAAGGUAUAAUUUCUCAACUAACAAAUGUUGUUUUAAGUUGAGUCAAGGUUCACCAAUCUACUAGGCUUUGAAUUUCAUGGUUAAUGUUUUGUUUUUAAGUGCAUACAAGCAUGAUUCCGCCUUUUAAUUGUUAAUUGCAUGCUAUAGAUGUUGCUUAAAUGAACAUGUUUUUCACAAAAUUUCCUUCAAGUGGUAUCAGAGCCUAGGUCUAGUAGUUGGUGAAUCCUUUUGGGUUUUGUAGUUCAUAGUCUUUGAUUUAAAUGUUGUAAUAUGUUACAAGCUUUAUUCUUGCUUCUUCGAAUGUAAAUUUUGUUAGAAAAUUUGCCAUCUCAAAUGUUGUAGAUGUAGUUCAUAUGAGCAUGAAUAUUGGAGCUAAAAUUUGGUGCCAUGUUUUUGGGAAAAUUUGGCCAAAUCCAAAGGGUGGAUUUUUGGGUGUUGGAAGUAUGCCCACAAAGCCACUCAUUUGAUGUAAUAGCUUUUGGAAUACUUAUUGUAUUAAACUUUUAUAUGUUUAAUGAAGGGCAAAGCUUAUUGUUAAUCACUAUUUAUUGUAUCUUGUGUUUAAGCAAUAAGGGAAUCCAAGGAAUGUAUUUGAUCUAAGAGAUAAGUGAUUUAAGUAAGUUAGAUUAACGAGACCUUUCUCUUAUGUUCAUUCCUAAAACGUUCCUAGCCAUAGGAUUGCCAAUUGGACAUUGACAAUCCGCUAAGGUUAGUAUGUGUUAUGUUGACUCAAGCGCGAGUAUGACAAGUCUCAAGUCAUUUAGUGUUGGACACUAAGACAAACACAUAGGUGCUCGAAAGAGUAAUCGAGUACACUGAACAACGAUCAAAAGAGAAUUCAAACAUACAUGUCAUGUAAGAACUCGAUAGUUGCAAUAUGCAAAGUAGUCCUUUGACCUGAGGCAUCAUAGAUGUCUAAUGGUUAGGUCCUUGAUCUUUGAUCAUGUUAAAUUGCAUUCCAUUGGAGUGUCCACGACAUUGUUGGGAUCAAGCUAUCUAGUCAUGUAGGCAUAUGAAUGCACAACAAGGGAUCUCUAACCUUCUAUGGUGGAAGGAGAAUACUCUAAGAUAUGAUUCGGGAGUCUUUGGCCAAAGCAUAUGAAUAUGACUUAGGAAAUUUGUUCCAAAUCAUAUUUAAUCGAAUCAUAUAGAGAAGUAUCACAUUGGAUAGUAGACAUGAAACAAACUCUUACUCAAACAAUGUGAUUAAGAGUAUUGUAUUAGAGAAGGACCGUAUUGCAUUGUAGUUGUAACUGGAUAGGUUCUCCAACCACUUCUACUUAGCUUGGGUAACCAUGAUAUGCUGUUAGGUGUCACUCAUGGUUUGUGGAAGCCUUGAAGAUUAGCCAACACUAAUCAAAGGGAGAAUUGAAAUGUUGUUUCAAUUCACAAUCGAUCGUUAAGAGUAACAAUCGCCCACUGCCUCGCUAAUUGGAACCUAAUAGACCAUACACCGAGUAAGGGUGAAAGUGAAGAAAUAUAAAUGAGAUGGAUAAGCAAUUAAAUAGUUUAAUUAAGAAUGGUCAAGAUUAAUUAAUUAGUUAAUUAAUUUUACGAAAGGUUCGUAUUGGGCUUUUAGGUUGGUUUUGGGCUUCGGGGCUCAAAAGCGUUUUGGUCCACAAGGCCCAUUAUGUUUAAGUUGUAUGACAACUAAAACAAAAUGGGCAAUUAGCCCAAUAACAAUGGUAAGGCCGGCCAUAAGGGUGAGGGUAGCAAACUUGGAUUAAUUACAAGUUUGCCACUCACUUGAAAUGAAGUAUAAAAUCAACUUUAUAGCUUUAUUUCUCAUUAGGGUUUUUCUUGGUGAAAUAAGGUGAAACACUUUCUCUCAUUUUCUCUAAAGAGGCCGGCCACUUAGAGGGGAAUUAGCUAGCAAUCUUUUCUUCUCUAAGUCAUCCAUUUCAUCUUCACACUUCAUCCUUGGUGUGGAGACUUAGAGACAUCAAGCUUUAGAUGUUUUUGGAGAACUAAUCCUCAAAUCCUUAAAGAAGCAAAGGAGCACUAAAAGGAGGAAAAUCACAAGGAAGAUCCAAGAAGCAAGGAGGUGACUUGAAGGCCCUCCACUUGGGUGAAUCCCUUGUGUAAUCAAGGAUGAGCUUCAAGGGUAAAGAAACUCUAAAUCUUUCCUUCUCUUUAAUGUUGUUAAAGAGUUUAUUGGUUCACCAUAUACUAGGCUUUGAAGGUCAUGGGUUUUAUGAAUUGUUUUUGAAUGCAUGCCUACUUUAAUGUGUUAAUAGUUUGCAUAUGUAUUCAAAUGUUCUUACUUGUUCUUAGCUAGGACAAAAUUUUUCCUUCAUUGGGUUCAUGUUUGACUUGUUAAAAUUGUUUUCAAGUAACUUUUGGAACCCCUAUGUACCCUAGUUUGGUUAUAUGUUAUUUCCCUUAAGUUUGAAUGGUUUUGGGAUGUUUUUGGGUGAAAAAUGUUCAUGGAAUUUUUUUGAGUUUUUCAUGAGUGUUCUUCAUUGUUCUUGACAUUUUUGCCAAGAACAAAAAGUUUGGUGUUUUGAUUCAAAGUUUUGAUUUAUUUCAUAAAGUUUAUGUUUUAUGUUUUAUGUUUUUCAUAUGUUUAAAUGUAUUAGAUAUUUGUUUAGAAAGGUGAUGGAAUUAUUGGUGGGUGUGUAAGGAUUAAUUCCCUUUCACACACACCACUUGCACCACUUGCAUGCUUUAUGUCAAACUUACCAAUCAACACACACAUCACUCCUUUCACCUCUCCAAAACCGGCCACCCUACAAGUGGGGUGUUUUUGGGGCUUUUAUGCAAUUACAUAAAGUUUUGAUACUUUUAUGUAUUUGCACUUUGGCACAAAAGUUUACGCUUUUACGUAAAGGCCCAAAAUCAUUAAAGGACAAAUUGUUUUGUUCCUGUAAUGAAGUUUUUGUAUUUGUUGAAAUUUUUGGGUUCUAGUUGUAAUUACAUGAAGUAGUGGACUUUUGUAUUUUUACAAAAUGAGGUCAAAAGUUUAAGUUUGCAACAUAGCCCAAAAAGUUGAGGUUAUUGCAUUUUGGCCCAAAUUAGGUUGAGAACAAAAUGGUUUUGUCUCUUUAAAUGAGAAUUUUCAUUUCAUUUAGCUCCAUUUAAAUCAAUUCUAUGGAUACAAAAAAACCAAAUGAAAAUGUUGCAUUCAAUUUAAUUAGUUAAAGUGUUAAUUAAUUAAAGGGUGAUUAUGAACCUAAGCCUACGAUAAUUGAGCUAUGUGAAAGGCCGUUUCAAAUUUGUUUGAACCAUGGGAAUGUGUAGAUUAGAUUUUGGUUGUAAUUUGAUUUGAUCAAAUGUUGUAAAAGAGCAUAAGCUCUUCUGUACUUUAAAGUAAUUUGUUUUAUUCAAAUGUUGUAAAGAGCAUAAGCUCAUCUUUACUUUGAAGUACUUCUUUCUUGUAUUAUUUGAUAUGCAUGAAAAUGGAGUAGAGGGUCCAACGCCCCUAAGACAACACGCCUUAAUGUGAUUAAACGCGUAACUAAAAUCAAUCACCAUCCCUAGACCAAGAUUCAACACUAGGCUCGUGUUGAAUCUAAACAAAGGUUCAUAGUCAUCCUAAGGCCCUAAGGCAACUAUAUAGUCCAUCAAAUGAAUGCAAAGUUUAUGUUAGUAGUAUCAUAUAAUCUUUCUUUAAAAACCAUUUUAUAAGCAUAGUGGGAGUAUUAUAUACAACUAAAUUCAAUCAAAUGGACCAAUAGUUGUAAUAGGACCAAAAUUGUUUUAAUAAAGAUUAAAAUGAAUAUUUAUAUGUGAUGAGACCUAAAAACCCUCAACCAAACCAUUAUUAAGUUGAGAAGUGUGAGAGUGCUUUGAACACUCUUUUGUGGCCUUCCACCAUGGUAGGCUCCGAUCGUUUGUGACUCGUACACCGGCUUCACCCUAUCAUGGGGGAGUACAAAGUGCGUGCUUACACUCAGGAGGAGUCUAUAUGCAUACUUGAUGUUGUGAAAGAUAGGCAACGAGAAUAGCCAACAUCAUAUCAUUGUGAGGUUGUUCUUGAACCCCUACCCGAACUUGCAUGGUGGGAAUGACUUAACUAAGUGCAAUGGAGCCAACAUCAUAUCAUUGUGAGGUUACAUUCUCUAGAGGCCAAAUAAGAUGGGUACUUGCAAGAGAUGCAAAUGAGUAAGCGUACUCUCUCAUUAUUAUUAAUGCUAGCCAACAUCAUAUCAUUGUGAGGUGGGCUUGGUAAUAGUGAGUCUCCCAUACCCUACUAAGAGUUACAUCCAAAACUCUCGAAUUCCAAUGAGGGAUAUGGAAUUUGCCAAAAAUAGUGGGUGGUGCUAUUUGAUUUAAAGACCUGAAUCAAAUGGCUUAAAAUCAAUCAAUUUAUAUUCAUUAUGUAUUUGUUUACCAAUAUAUUUGCAAACACUAUCCAAAACUUGACAAAGAAAAGCCGAAUGCUUUAGUUUCCGGACUUGGUACAACAAUCCCAAAGAUUGUCUUAAAUGGAUUGUAUAUGUACCUAAGUAGUCUCAUCCUCACAAUCUUCCUAUUGAUAAUGUACCAUUGGAAGAACA